UACGUAGGGACCGAGCGUUGUCCGGAAUCAUUGGGCGUAAAGAGCGUGUAGGCGGCCACUUAAGUCCUGCGUGAAAUCUUGCGGCUCAACCGCAAGCGGUCGUGGGAAACUGGGUGGCUAGAGUGCGGGAGAGGAGAGUGGAAUUCCUGGUGUAGCGGUGGAAUGCGCAGAUAUCAGGAAGAACACCCGUGGCGAAGGCGGCUCUCUGGAACGCAACUGACGCUGAGACGCGAAAGCGUGGGGAGCGAACAGG
RNAcentral lists this ribosomal RNA (253 nucleotides) under uncultured bacterium. RNAcentral's name for it is "partial 16S ribosomal RNA". It matches the Rfam family "Bacterial small subunit ribosomal RNA", at positions 524 to 776 of the family's 1533-position model. The record is from RNAcentral.